This 242-nucleotide ribosomal RNA is filed under the name uncultured bacterium. Its description in RNAcentral is "partial 16S ribosomal RNA". It matches the Rfam family "Bacterial small subunit ribosomal RNA", at positions 923 to 1172 of the family's 1533-position model. The record is from RNAcentral.
GCACAAGCAGUGGAGUAUGUGGUUUAAUUCGAAGCAACGCGAAGAACCUUACCAGGUCUUGACAUCGGAUGCAUACCUAAGAGAUUAGGGAAGUCCUUCGGGACAUCCAGACAGGUGGUGCAUGGUUGUCGUCAGCUCGUGUCGUGAGAUGUUGGGUUAAGUCCCGCAACGAGCGCAACCCUUAUUGCCAGUUACUACGCAAGAGGACUCUGGCGAGACUGCCGUUGACAAAACGGAGGAAG